RNAcentral lists this transfer RNA (70 nucleotides) under Pseudachorutes palmiensis. Its description in RNAcentral is "tRNA-Lys". Lineage: Eukaryota; Metazoa; Arthropoda; Collembola; Poduromorpha; Neanuridae. The record is from RNAcentral.
ACUGAAGUGGCUGAAAGUAAGCGUUGGUCUCUUAAACCAAAAAUAAUAAGUAAACCGUGUAUUCUUAGUG